This 836-nucleotide ribosomal RNA is filed under the name Escherichia coli. RNAcentral's name for it is "partial 23S ribosomal RNA". It matches the Rfam family "Bacterial large subunit ribosomal RNA", at positions 911 to 1746 of the family's 2925-position model. Lineage: Bacteria; Pseudomonadati; Pseudomonadota; Gammaproteobacteria; Enterobacterales; Enterobacteriaceae. The record is from RNAcentral.
UGUUUCGGCAAGGGGGUCAUCCCGACUUACCAACCCGAUGCAAACUGCGAAUACCGGAGAAUGUUAUCACGGGAGACACACGGCGGGUGCUAACGUCCGUCGUGAAGAGGGAAACAACCCAGACCGCCAGCUAAGGUCCCAAAGUCAUGGUUAAGUGGGAAACGAUGUGGGAAGGCCCAGACAGCCAGGAUGUUGGCUUAGAAGCAGCCAUCAUUUAAAGAAAGCGUAAUAGCUCACUGGUCGAGUCGGCCUGCGCGGAAGAUGUAACGGGGCUAAACCAUGCACCGAAGCUGCGGCAGCGACGCUUAUGCGUUGUUGGGUAGGGGAGCGUUCUGUAAGCCUGUGAAGGUGUACUGUGAGGUAUGCUGGAGGUAUCAGAAGUGCGAAUGCUGACAUAAGUAACGAUAAAGCGGGUGAAAAGCCCGCUCGCCGGAAGACCAAGGGUUCCUGUCCAACGUUAAUCGGGGCAGGGUGAGUCGACCCCUAAGGCGAGGCCGAAAGGCGUAGUCGAUGGGAAACAGGUUAAUAUUCCUGUACUUGGUGUUACUGCGAAGGGGGGACGGAGAAGGCUAUGUUGGCCGGGCGACGGUUGUCCCGGUUUAAGCGUGUAGGCUGGUUUUCCAGGCAAAUCCGGAAAAUCAAGGCUGAGGCGUGAUGACGAGGCACUACGGUGCUGAAGCAACAAAUGCCCUGCUUCCAGGAAAAGCCUCUAAGCAUCAGGUAACAUCAAAUCGUACCCCAAACCGACACAGGUGGUCAGGUAGAGAAUACCAAGGCGCUUGAGAGAACUCGGGUGAAGGAACUAGGCAAAAUGGUGCCGUAACUUCGGGAGAAGG